RNAcentral lists this ribosomal RNA (414 nucleotides) under uncultured Rhizophagus. RNAcentral describes it as "partial 28S ribosomal RNA". Lineage: Eukaryota; Fungi; Glomeromycota; Glomeromycetes; Glomerales; Glomeraceae. The record is from RNAcentral.
GAGAGUUAAACAGUACGUGAAAUUGUUGAAAGGGAAACGAUUGAAGCCAGUCGUACCUUCGGGUAAUCAGCCUUUCGGGUGCGAUUAUGUGGAGUGUGAGGAGCUUAAACACCUUCAUGUUUUGCAUAUUCGUACUCUUGGGUGUACUUGCCCGUGUGGUUGGUUAACAUCAAUUUUGGUGGUCAUAAAAUGACUGGGGGAAUGUAGCUUCGAUCUUGUAUUGAAGUGUUAUAGCCUUCGGUAGAUGUGAUGAUCGAGAUUGAGGAUUGCAACGGAUACCCUUCGGGGCUACCUGUCUGAUCUCUGAAACGUUGCCUUGAUGUCGAAAGCUUGCUUAUGAUGUUAGGGUAUUACGGUCAAAAGGUUAGAACGGAUUAAAUUCGUUAAGGAUGUUGACGUAAUGACUUUAAACGA